CGGCAGACACACGGCGGGUGCUAACGUCCGUCGUGGAGAGGGAAACAACCCUGACCACCAGCUAAGGUCCCCAAGUUAUGGCUAAGUGGGAAAGGAUGUGAGGAUCCCAAAACAACCAGGAUGUUGGCUUAGAAGCAGCCAUCAUUUAAAGAAAGCGUAACAGCUCACUGGUCUAGAUUUAAGGGUUCUUGCGCCGAAAAUGUACCGGGGCUCAAGCCAUACACCGAAGCUGUGGGUUUGCACUUUGUGCAAGCGGUAGCGGAGCGUUCCCUAGGCUGUUGAAGCGGGACCCGUGAGGGCCCGUGGAGGUAUGGGAAGUGCGAAUGCUGACAUGAGUAACGAUAAAGGGUGUGAGAGACACCCUCGCCGAAAGUCCAAGGGUUCCUGCUUAAAGUUAAUCUGAGCAGGGUUAGCCGGCCCCUAAGGCGAGGCCGAAAGGCGUAGUCGAUGGGAACCACGUUAAUAUUCGUGGGCCUGGUGGUGAGUGACGGAUCCCGUGUGUUGUUCGAUCUUAUCGGAUUGAUCGAGCCUCGAAGGGGUCCCAGGAAAUAGCCCCACCGAUAGACCGUACCCUAAACCGACACAGGUGGACUGGUAGAGUAUACCAAGGCGCUUGAGAGAACUGCGUUGAAGGAACUCGGCAAAUUGCACGCGUAACUUCGGAAGAAGCGUGACCUCCAGUAACGCAAGUUAUUGGUGGUGGCACAGACCAGGGGGUAGCGACUGUUUAUCAAAAACACAGGGCUCUGCGAAGUCGCAAGACGACGUAUAGGGUCUGACGCCUGCCCGGUGCUGGAAGGUUAAGAGGAGGGGUGCAAGCUCUGAAUCGAAGCCCCAGUAAACGGCGGCCGUAACUAUAACGGUCCUAAGGUAGCGAAAUUCCUUGUCGGGUAAGUUCCGACCUGCACGAAUGGCGUAACGACUUCCCCGCUGUCUCCAACGCAGACUCAGUGAAAUUGAAUUCCCCGUGAAGAUGCGGGGUUCCUGCGGUCAGACGGAAAGACCCCGUGCACCUUUACUAUAGCUUUACA
This 1031-nucleotide non-coding RNA is filed under the name Corchorus olitorius. RNAcentral describes it as "Bacterial large subunit ribosomal RNA". It matches the Rfam family "Bacterial large subunit ribosomal RNA", at positions 978 to 2116 of the family's 2925-position model. Lineage: Eukaryota; Viridiplantae; Streptophyta; Magnoliopsida; Malvales; Malvaceae. The record is from Rfam by way of RNAcentral.